Molecule: ribosomal RNA, 433 nt
Filed under: uncultured bacterium
Lineage: Bacteria
Description: partial 16S ribosomal RNA
Rfam family: Bacterial small subunit ribosomal RNA
Source: RNAcentral
AACGAACGCUGGCGGCAUGCCUAACACAUGCAAGUCGAACGAGACCUUCGGGUCUAGUGGCGCACGGGUGCGUAACGCGUGGGAACCUGCCUUUAGGUUCGGAAUAACUCAGAGAAAUUUGAGCUAAUACCGGAUGAUGUCUUCGGACCAAAGAUUUAUCGCCUUUAGAUGGGCCCGCGUUGGAUUAGCUAGUUGGUGGGGUAAAGGCCUACCAAGGCGACGAUCCAUAGCUGGUCUGAGAGGAUGAUCAGCCACACUGGGACUGAGACACGGCCCAGACUCCUACGGGAGGCAGCAGUGGGGAAUAUUGGACAAUGGGCGAAAGCCUGAUCCAGCAAUGCCGCGUGAGUGAUGAAGGCCUUAGGGUUGUAAAGCUCUUUUACCCGAGAUGAUAAUGACAGUAGCGGGAGAAUAAGCUCCGGCUAACUCCGCG